RNAcentral lists this ribosomal RNA (450 nucleotides) under uncultured bacterium. RNAcentral's name for it is "partial 16S ribosomal RNA". It matches the Rfam family "Bacterial small subunit ribosomal RNA", at positions 354 to 796 of the family's 1533-position model. The record is from RNAcentral.
GUGGGGAAUAUUGGACAAUGGGGGGAACCCUGAUCCAGCCAUGCCGCGUGUGUGAAGAAGGUCUUCGGAUUGUAAAGCACUUUAAGUUGGGAGGAAGGGCAGUAAGUUAAUACCUUGCUGUUUUGACGUUACCGACAGAAUAAGCACCGGCUAACUUCGUGCCAGCAGCCGCGGUAAUACGAAGGGUGCAAGCGUUAAUCGGAAUUACUGGGCGUAAAGCGCGCGUAGGUGGUUUUGUAAGUUGGAGGUGAAAUCCCCGGGCUCAACCUGGGAACUGCCUCCAAAACUGCAUGACUAGAGUACGGUAGAGGGUAGUGGAAUUUCCUGUGUAGCGGUGAAAUGCGUAGAUAUAGGAAGGAACACCAGUGGCGAAGGCGACUACCUGGACUGAUACUGACACUGAGGUGCGAAAGCGUGGGGAGCAAACAGGAUUAGAUACCCCGGUAGUCC